RNAcentral lists this long non-coding RNA (6245 nucleotides) under Mytilus galloprovincialis (Mediterranean mussel). Lineage: Eukaryota; Metazoa; Mollusca; Bivalvia; Mytilida; Mytilidae. The record is from RNAcentral.
AAAUCCUACUUGUCGAUCUCGCAACGGAGGCGUGGCUUGUUUUCCUUAUUUGGAAAACCGAUUCAACAGGAAGCUUGAAACCCACAUGUUUUGAACGGACGGAAUGUUUUUGUUGCAAGAGGCGAAUAAUGGCCUAUGUACCCACGGAUUUCAGCUUACAAGCCGAAUUGUACGCCAUAACUUGACUAUGAGUAAGUAUUCUGUCGUCUUUUUGCUGUUUUCUGUAGCCGACUAUCUUCAUUUUGACAAAAAUCUACCCUUGAAGUUGAAAUUCUCCCCCUUUUUUUCAUCUGUUUUAGAAAUUAUCCCUGAACCAAGGAAUUGCAUAGUAUACUAUGCCUGAACUGUCUUAAUUGCAAGUCCUUUCAUGGUCCACAGUGUUUAUGUGCAAUUUAGGUGAAGUUUUAGAAUACCCAUGAGCUGUCCAGGAAGUUUGUUAUGCUAUAGUUUCACUUGUUGAUGUAAAAAAAACUUAAGGUCUAGUUUAUUCCAUGGUUGGCCAGCUGACAGUCAAUCUGUUUGAAUUCAUGAAUCAUGGAUAUAUUUUUUUUUUGAGAGCGAGUGAUAUAAGAACAUGAGAUUGGCAAUUAUAAUAACAAGUUGCUGGUCUAAAAUAUUUGAAUCUGUAGAAGAAGACACUAGACUAAAUUUUCAACAAAGACCCCACCUCAAUAUUAUCAAAUCACAGAGUUUAUUACUUUGCAGACAAUGUGUAGGCUAGCUGCGGAACUGUAGCUCUUAGGUCCUUAUGUUAUUUUUUGACUAUUUGCGGACCUCCACAAAAUCAAAAAAAAAUUAAAAAAAGGACCAUAAGAGUUACGGUUCCGCAGCUAUGUGUAGGCAAGACACUGCCAGAUGUUCUAAAGUUAGCUAUGUCAUGUAUGUACAUGUACAAACUACAUUUUCCUCAAUUUCAAAGCUGCAUCAUGAAUGCAAGGUCAGUUUUUUUACGUUCUAAAACAACAAAAAUUCUAGAUUUUUAUUCACAUAAAGACUUGAAAGACUUAAGAGUAACUGUAUGCUGAUUGAUGUUUUAUUCUUAGGCUGCCGCAGGCCAGAUUCUUAUUUUCUAAAGAAAAUUUUGCAUAGUACGAAUACUAAUUCGUCUGCGGUGUACAAGCAAAUGUAGUACUUACUGAAUAGAAAUUCUGACAGACCUAAAAGAAGUUUUUAAAAACCUGGGCUAUUUGUCCUGUGUGUAAAUCUUAUAUAUACAAUAUAUAUACCCUUAUUUUAUUCUGUAUGCUUCAUGUUUAAGUUCUUUAAUAUGUAUAUGAAUAAAAGGAGAUGUAGGGCAUACCCGUAGCCAGGGGGGUUCGGACGAACCCCCCCCCCUUUGAAAACAAAUAAGCACUGUUAAAGUCAAUGUUCUGUUCAAAUUGUGACUGUUAAAGUUGAGUUUGUGAGUCCAACGAACCCCCCCCCCCCCCCCCCCUUGGAAAUUCCUGGUUAUGGGCCUGUAGGGUGUACAUUGUACAUUUUGUGUGUACAUAAUCAUAUAUCAUGAGACAGCUACAGAAGUUCUUUCUGUUCAACAUUUUGUACUACCAGAAUAAGGUUCAUUCUGUUGCUAUACUACAUUGUAGUUACAGUCUUUAUGAAAUAAGUAACAUGUAUAAAGGCCACACCAAUUUAAUUCCUUGUUUGACCAACCCGCCCGCACUUAUUUUUUUCAAAACAGGAUUUUUUUUUUAUAUAUAUUCCCCCUUCCCGCAUCUGGAAAUGUAAUCAUGUCCAUUUCCCGCAUCAUUUUUUGUAAAUAUUAUAAAAAGAUAUUAACACUUGUUUUCAAAUCACUGUCUUACCUGUAAAUAUUGUUUAAAACCUAUAAGCACCCGACCACACUGUAUAAAUAUCUUGUGUAAUUUUUUUUAUUAAUAAUUAAACCUAUAUACAUUGUAUCCCAAGUGGGAGUACUCCGAUAUAAAUAUAUAACAGGAAAAAAUGCCUGUACAUUGGUUUCCUUCCCCUUACUUACAAAAUAUGUUCGUUGUCAGAACUUCUAAAGAACAGUUGGCUUCAAUUGCAAAUAUAUUGUAUGCCGGCAGAACAAAACAACCCAUAUGCAUACUCCCUGCAUGUUUAUGUACCUGUCAGGAUUGAUUUGGGGGCCUGUCGUUAAGUAGUUUGUUGAUGUGGUUCAUAGCCUGUUAUUUCUCAGUUUGUAUAUAUGUUAGACUCAGAUCGACGUCCGGCCUCUAAUCGACGUCCGUUCCUCAAAUCGACGUCCGUUUCACAAAUCGACGUCCAAAUCUGACGUCACAUUAUCAAAUCGACGUCCAAUAUUUUUGAUACGCUAAUCGACGUCUAAUGUGAUGUCAAGUUUUGCCAAAACGACGUCCGAUUGAUUAUAGUCGUCUUUAAUAGAUGGCCAAUAUCAUUAAAUAGUACAUAUUUUGUAGGGUUCUUAUGACAACUAAAUUUUAAAACAUUUAUUCAUACUUUCCAUAUAGAUUUUUUUCGACCCGAAAUAGGUAAAAUGCAUAUUAUUAAAUGUUUAUCGAUCUACAUAAUAGUGUAGAAAGCAACCGAACGACAAAUAAAACAAAACGAAAUAUAGGAGCAUUAAUCAGUCUUGAAAGUUCGUCAAUAGAAAAAAUAAAAAAGUACACUGAGCCAAUUGUUUGAAAAUAUCAAAAUACGGACUCUGUAAGAUAUUUUUAAACAAAUUUCUGAGUUUUACACCUGGAGUUGGCAUUAUUCUUUUAUGUCCACACACAUGUUUAACUCCGACAUAUUCUUUAUGUGCCUCUAGUACAGUGGUCGUCGUUGGUGUAUGUCUGCCAUUUUUUUCUUUCGGAAUUGUUUUGUUAUACAUAAGACCGUCAAUUUUUCUAAUUUGAAUUGUGUACAUUAUUCAUGUCGCGGCCUUUUACAGCCUUUGAGGUAUUGGUUUUUGUUGAAAGCCGCACGGUUGCCUAUAAUUGCUCACAUCCACUUUAUUUGACUUCUUGUGUAUAGAUUGGGAACCAUACCACAUCUUCUUAUUAUUAUUUAAUCUCUACAAUUUAUAAAUUGAUAUCCCAACCUGCUUUACAUACUUAUUCUAGUAUGCAUUAAAUCAAAAAAAAAAAAAAACUUUUUUAGAUAGAUAAUAUGUUUGAAGGUCUAAAGGUUUCAGGUGCUAUCAGUUCAGAUUAAUUUGGUUGUCCGUGUCCAAAACGGACGUUGAUUAGAGAAGCUAAAAAUUAGACGUCGAUUAGAGAAGUCUAUAAAUGAACGUCGAUUAGAAAAGCAUAACAUUGGCCGUCGAUUUGAAAUGUUAUUUUAUUGUGACGUCAAAUUUGGACGUCGAUUUGAGGAACGGACGUCGAUUAGAGACCGGACGUCGAUCUGAGUCUUACAUAUAUAUUAGAUUGUUGGUUUUCCUGUUUGAAUUGUGUACUCUAGUUAUGUUGGGGUCCCUUAUGCCCUUAUAGCUUGCUGUUUAGUCUGGGUCAUAGCCCUAGCCGGUGUAAAAGGCCGAUAAAUGACUUGAAUUUGUUAUUAUCAGGUUUGGAAGAACCCUUCUUCAAGUAAGGGGUUAUUUUACUGAUUAUAGAAAAGAAAAAUAGAAUAAACCAAGGAUUUGUAUAGUGCUACUAUACAAAUCCUUGGAAAAGCUUAGAAUUUUUUACUUAAAACGAGGAAAACUACAUCAUAUUUGAAACAACUUUUCUAAAAGAGGGGUCCGCACUUUCUGAAUAAUAUAAAAGUAAAUGAUAUGUGUGGUUGAUUAAAGUCCAGAAAUAUUACAAAAUUUGUAGACAUGUUUUGACCAUUUAAUACCAGAUAGCUAUAUAGUUCUUUCAGAAAAUAUGAGGCGUUUUGUACUAAAAAGUGUUUUUUUUUUACAAAAUAUAUAUUAUAACUUAUAUGACCCCUCAUAAAAGGGAUAUUCUAUAACAUUGUGGGGUGGUUCCCAACCUGAUUAUGACUUGGAUGGAGAUUUGUCUCUUUGGCACACAUACAUAUACCACAUCUAAUUAUUCAAUUAUUUCUUGGUGUACAGGGAAAAACACUUCAUAAAUUAAAGAAAUGUCAGGGUACAAACUUGUGAUAAAUCAAGCUUUAAUAUCAUGAAUAUUGUCAAAAUCUAAUAUUUUUAUUUUAUGUUUACAAAAAAAAAUUAUAAUCGUUCGCCUUUAUUUUUCAUGCUUCACCUAAAAAAAAGCAAAUUGAAUAUUUUUUAAUAAAAAUUUUCAAAUCGCUCACUCGCCCCAAUUUUUGGAGUCCAAAAAUCCGUAAAACAAGAAACUAAAUCAUGAAUUGGUGUGGCCUAAAAAGGAAAAUUAAUAUUAUAAUUAUUCUGGGCCCACCUUUUCUGGAGGAAAUUUAUUUGUUGGCCCUUCUUAGGUAGUCAGUGCAGUGGGCCCCAACUUAUGAAAAUUUGUGGAUCCACCACUGAGAUAGCAUCACAUUCAAGAAAUACAUGUAUGUAUAGCCUCACAUGAAAACACUGAAAGACCCUGCGGAACGUGAACACUGGGUUGCUACAUGUGUAUCACAAUGCUAAUUUGGUAUAGGCUUGGAAGUUAGAACAUUCACUGUUCUGAAAUGUACCUGUAUAAUCAUUUAAAAAAAUAAGACAUAAAAUAGAUUUGUCGUUUCGGAAUCUUAUGCAUUCUGGCCAAUAUUUUAAUAUUUUCAAAAGCGUUCACCAAAAAGUUGUGAUUGGCUUAACACGUACUAAAUAUUUGAAUUCCAUCCAAUGAUGUGGCGUUAUUUUCAUUUUGGUGUACGAACAAUGAGAUUACCAUUUACCCAUAGUCCUAUAUAUAGAUUAUGGAAAAGGCGAAUUACUACCUGAACCUUUUUGUUUCAAAUUGGAGGCUGGAAACAAGCAUAUAAUUUAAAUUCGUUUUGGUUUGAAUUAAAUUAAAUUAACUAAUAUAAAAAAGAAGAUAUGGUAUAAAUGCAAAUGAGACAACUCUCCACAAGAGAACAAAAUGACACACAAAUUAACAACUAUAGGUCACGGUACGGGACUUCAACAAUGAGCAAAGACCAUACCGCAUAGUCAGCUAUAAAAGACACCGAAAUUACAAUGUAAAACAACAAUUCAACAUGUUCAAACGAGACAGGCACAAAUAUUUACAUACAUACAUAAUGUAGCGGAGUUAUUUUAAUUUUGCAAAAAGUUGUUAUUUUGAUAGUUAGUGACUAUUUUACAAAAAUGUUAGGUGGAUAUUGUUAAGUUUUUAACACAUCUCUUUUCACAGAAUUUUUGCAUGUAAGUUUGGAUUACAAUAUAAUUAGUCCUUCAUGUUUAUAUAUAUGAAAAAUAUUUUUAUCAGUAAUACUGUUAUACUGCUUACUAGAUGUUUUUUUUUUGUGUACACGAUUGUCAAUUGUUACUUUUUUUAUUACAGGUUCAAGAUGACAAUGAUGAGAACAAAAGUGCAAAAGAUAAGCCUUACAUGUACAUUGCAAUACGUGACUGCAGGAUGUAUGAACCGAAAACAUGGACAACAUGUGUUCAGGGCAACAUAACUUUUUGAAAUGGAAUAAAGAUAACUUUCCAACCAGACGUUCCACAGUGUGAUCAUGGUGAUGUCAAACAGCAUGUUAAAAAUGAUUAAAAACAAUAUAGUAAGACUCAGCUUAAAGGUGAAAGGAGGAUCCAGUUUUUGACACCCACUUUUUCUUGCCUGUUUUUUCUGGACAGAAAGAAAACCCUCCAUUUAAAUAGAAUGCAGAAAGUGACUGUUAAAUUGUAAAAUUAACAGAACCUACAGAUGGAAACAUGUGUAAAAAGAAAAACCUCAUGUAAUCUAUAAAGUAAUUCAACAUCUUGUAGCAGCCUCGUAGAGAUCGUUCCACAGCAGUUAAGGAUGACCAAAGGUGAACAGUUCUAGUUUUCAACAUGAACACAGACAUGUCACACAGAGAUUAAUCUAAACAAGUACAAUUUGAUUAAAAAGAAUUUGUGCUCAUAUACAUGUACGUUGUACAAUUUUGUACCUGUAUAGUGGAAAAAUUACAUGUGCAAUUUAUUACGAACAGAAGACCAACAUAAAAGGGCUAAAUGUUAUAGAUAUCUGUAAAUUUACAUUAUGUUCAUAAGAACAGCUGCAGUAUCAACAUUUGAACAGUAACAUCAUCCAUUAAUUUUUUGUCAAGCGUGUGUAUCAAAACAUUAAUUUGAUUAAAUAUUUCUAUUUAUGCACUGUACUUGCAUUACAAUUUCAUGAGUAAUAAGGCCAGUUUGAUUUCAGAUUUUUAUGAAAGUUCUUGGAUGUUUCAUCAUGUUCAUCACAACUAUU